GUCUAGAUAGACCCUCGUUCGACUUGCAGCUGAGAUUGGGCUAAAGAAAAAGUUACUCUUGGUAUACUGACUCUUGGAUGCAAAAUUUAACCAAAUCCAAAAGCCACGAGCCCAAGGACAAGA
RNAcentral lists this small nucleolar RNA (123 nucleotides) under Drosophila persimilis. RNAcentral describes it as "snoRNA:GL28031". Lineage: Eukaryota; Metazoa; Arthropoda; Insecta; Diptera; Drosophilidae. The record is from RNAcentral.